GAGGGUAUAGCUCAGUGGUAGAGUGCAUUCUUAGCAUGUACGAGGCCCUGGGUUCCAUCCCCAGUACCUCUG
This 72-nucleotide transfer RNA is filed under the name Camelus bactrianus (Bactrian camel). It matches the Rfam family "tRNA". Rfam says of the family: Transfer RNA (tRNA) molecules are approximately 80 nucleotides in length. Their secondary structure includes four short double-helical elements and three loops (D, anti-codon, and T loops). Lineage: Eukaryota; Metazoa; Chordata; Mammalia; Artiodactyla; Camelidae. The record is from Rfam by way of RNAcentral. RNAcentral also lists the same sequence under 2 other names.